Mustela putorius furo (domestic ferret) is the source of this 130-nucleotide small nucleolar RNA. NCBI's taxonomy places the organism in Eukaryota, Metazoa, Chordata, Mammalia, Carnivora, Mustelidae. The record is from Ensembl.
CCCUUUUUAAAAGCGCUCGGUGGGCCCUGAUUGGGAGUCACGGAGCCUUCCAGAAAGGGCAGAGGAAAGCACUGCUUUCAGGUGAAGCAGCAGCGUGUUGUGUUGUUUUGCUUGAGUUGGUGUGACCCGG